GGGAAGGGAGUGACACAGGCUGUUAACUAGUUCAAAGCAGAGGACAGGUAAUGCAAAUUGGAGCUGUUAGUAUGAUGAGGUUUUUGAGAGUGGGCCUGUGAGAAUCUGGAAGUGACGCCUCAAUGGCCAAAAAGUCCUGGCUGAACUUCCGCUUCCUACAUCUCCUUCCUCCCUACAACUCUCUCCUCCUAAGACUAAGGACUUGCCCAAAGCCUGUGAGUUAUAUCAUGAAGUUUGGAAGGGAAACAACAGAAGAGUCAUGAGAGAUGCCAGAGAAGGAAGGGGUCAUGCUCAUCUUUACUCUUCACAGGUUAGUGUAAGAGAAAUCUUUCUCUAACCAGCAUUUUCAGUUUAGCUUCUCAAAAAAAUGGAGUCUUGUUUCUGUUUUACUAUAUUUGGGUUGGUUUGUUGUUUUUUUUUUUCCUCUCUCUCUGGGAAACCAGUAUGUCUAAGUCCAUUUACAGCUUACUCCCACUUUCUUCCCUUACUUACAGAACACAAAUAUAGUAUGAUGUGGAAAUCAUCCUUCCUGAAGGCUUCUAUUUCUUUGUUAACCCAUGAAGAUUAUAAUUCUUCUACUUCAAAAGGCCUUCCGUUGCCAGAACUGCUAUGCUACUUUACGUCUCACAAGAGCUUUUCCUGUAUAUAAAUUUUAUAAAACUCAUAUCUAGUUUAACUUCCUACUAACAUUAGAUAUGACACUAUGAAGGCACAUGAUAUAUGUAAUGGGAUUUUGCAAGGAAGAAAGAUCAUUUGGAUAAAGUUUGCAUAGCUCUUCUUAGGCUUAUGCAUGUAUUUAAAUUUAUAAAAAUGAUCCUUUGCUAUGUGGCACAGGAUGCUCUGGUGUCUAGGAAUUUUACUGGAAUAAAGCUUCUACCUGUAAAACCUAA
This is a long non-coding RNA of Pezoporus occidentalis (night parrot), 890 nucleotides long. RefSeq lists it as uncharacterized. The transcript is spliced from 2 exons. The record is from RefSeq and is a predicted model, not a curated record. NCBI's taxonomy places the organism in Eukaryota, Metazoa, Chordata, Aves, Psittaciformes, Psittacidae.